Molecule: transfer RNA, 146 nt
Filed under: Columbicola passerinae
Lineage: Eukaryota; Metazoa; Arthropoda; Insecta; Psocodea; Philopteridae
Description: tRNA-Leu
Source: RNAcentral
AAAACCAUUGUAGGUUUUUUACAAUGGAGUUUGAGCCCGUGACAAAUGGGCUGUUUUAUUUUUAAUUAACAUUUUCCUUAUUUUGGCAGAUUUAAGUGCGCUAGAUUUAAGAUCUAGAAAUAUAGAAGGAUUUUCUAUAAAUAAGA